CCUGUCCUCGAAAGCAUUGCAGGUGUGACUGUUGUGUCAUGUGUGUAUCAAUAGGUGGCAGAGAGGAGAGAGGCUGUGUCUAUGCUUAGUGUUCUGACCUGUAAACAUCUGAAUGAUUAGUAACCUAAUAUU
Small nucleolar RNA from Mastomys coucha (southern multimammate mouse), 132 nucleotides. RefSeq annotates it as small nucleolar RNA SNORA17. The record is from RefSeq and is a predicted model, not a curated record. Lineage: Eukaryota; Metazoa; Chordata; Mammalia; Rodentia; Muridae. The transcript has a single exon.